Molecule: ribosomal RNA, 1063 nt
Filed under: Micrococcus sp.
Lineage: Bacteria; Bacillati; Actinomycetota; Actinomycetes; Micrococcales; Micrococcaceae
Description: bacterial SSU rRNA
Rfam family: Bacterial small subunit ribosomal RNA
Source: RNAcentral
CACAUGCAGUCGAACGAUGAAGCCCAGCUUGCUGGGUGGAUUAGUGGCGAACGGGUGAGUAACACGUGAGUAACCUGCCCUUAACUCUGGGAUAAGCCUGGGAAACUGGGUCUAAUACCGGAUAGGAGCGCCUACCGCAUGGUGGGUGUUGGAAAGAUUUAUCGGUUUUGGAUGGACUCGCGGCCUAUCAGCUUGUUGGUGAGGUAAUGGCUCACCAAGGCGACGACGGGUAGCCGGCCUGAGAGGGUGACCGGCCACACUGGGACUGAGACACGGCCCAGACUCCUACGGGAGGCAGCAGUGGGGAAUAUUGCACAAUGGGCGCAAGCCUGAUGCAGCGACGCCGCGUGAGGGAUGACGGCCUUCGGGUUGUAAACCUCUUUCAGUAGGGAAGAAGCGAAAGUGACGGUACCUGCAGAAGAAGCACCGGCUAACUACGUGCCAGCAGCCGCGGUAAUACGUAGGGUGCGAGCGUUAUCCGGAAUUAUUGGGCGUAAAGAGCUCGUAGGCGGUUUGUCGCGUCUGUCGUGAAAGUCCGGGGCUUAACCCCGGAUCUGCGGUGGGUACGGGCAGACUAGAGUGCAGUAGGGGAGACUGGAAUUCCUGGUGUAGCGGUGGAAUGCGCAGAUAUCAGGAGGAACACCGAUGGCGAAGGCAGGUCUCUGGGCUGUAACUGACGCUGAGGAGCGAAAGCAUGGGGAGCGAACAGGAUUAGAUACCCUGGUAGUCCAUGCCGUAAACGUUGGGCACUAGGUGUGGGGACCAUUCCACGGUUUCCGCGCCGCAGCUAACGCAUUAAGUGCCCCGCCUGGGGAGUACGGCCGCAAGGCUAAAACUCAAAGGAAUUGACGGGGGCCCGCACAAGCGGCGGAGCAUGCGGAUUAAUUCGAUGCAACGCGAAGAACCUUACCAAGGCUUGACAUGUUCUCGAUCGCCGUAGAGAUACGGUUUCCCCUUUGGGGCGGGUUCACAGGUGGUGCAUGGUUGUCGUCAGCUCGUGUCGUGAGAUGUUGGGUUAAGUCCCGCAACGAGCGCAACCCUCGUUCCAUGUUGCCAGCACGUA